UACGGAGGGGGCUAGCGUUGUUCGGAAUUACUGGGCGUAAAGCGUGCGCAGGCGGUUUUGUAAGUUUGUCGUGAAAUCCCCGGGCUCAACCUGGGAAUGGCGAUGAAGACUGCAAGGCUAGAAUCUGGCAGAGGGGGGUAGAAUUCCACGUGUAGCAGUGAAAUGCGUAGAGAUGUGGAGGAACACCGAUGGCGAAGGCAGCCCCCUGGGUCAAGAUUGACGCUCAUGCACGAAAGCGUGGGGAGCAAACAGG
RNAcentral lists this ribosomal RNA (253 nucleotides) under uncultured bacterium. Its description in RNAcentral is "partial 16S ribosomal RNA". It matches the Rfam family "Bacterial small subunit ribosomal RNA", at positions 524 to 776 of the family's 1533-position model. The record is from RNAcentral.